Long non-coding RNA from Neltuma alba, 838 nucleotides. RefSeq lists it as uncharacterized. The record is from RefSeq and is a predicted model, not a curated record. The transcript is spliced from 2 exons. Lineage: Eukaryota; Viridiplantae; Streptophyta; Magnoliopsida; Fabales; Fabaceae.
AAAGACUAAGGAAACAAGAGAGACAUUGAAUAGUCAAAGAAUCUUGGAGAAGAUGGCGAGAAAAAUGGCUAUGGGAGAUGAAGAAGCUGAUCUGAGUAAUAUUAUUAUUCCUCUUCACAGCUCUGGUCUCCUAUUCUUGCUUCUUAUGGUGUUCACUUCCCUGCUGAUUGUACCACUGGUUUUGCUUGCUUGUGCUGACGGUGCUGAUCAAAACUCCUCCCAGAACAAAGGUAAAGGAAGCGAUUGUGGGGGCGGAGCCGGAUGUGGCGGCGGCGGAUGUGGCGGCGGCGGAUGUGGUGGAGGCUGCGGUGGUUGAUAAUUUUAUGAAGAAUUUGGAUCGAUCAAACAGUUGACGACGACGAUACAUGGAUCACCACUAUAUAUAUAUAUAUAUAUUAAACGUUCCGUUUCUGUUGUUUGAUAGAUCAGAUCCCAACAGAAACAGAUAGGAGGAGAAGAGAGUCGUCAAAAACCAAAAUGAUAUGAUGGGGUUUUCAAUUGGGAGCUACACACACACACACACACAUAAAUAUAUGGUAGUGGCAGCAUUCGGUUUCUUGGGGAUUAUUGCCAAACUGGUUUCCCUCUCGUACUUCUUGUGCUAACAAGAAGGGAAAUCAGAAAUUGGGCGGCGAUGGCAACAGCGGAGGAGGUUGCGGUGGCGAAACACUCGUCUGAACUAUGUACUCAUCUCGUCUUCAUUAUAUUCAAUUAUUAAUAUACCAUAACUCACAGUCGAGUAAUCUAUAGUUCAGUUAUAAAAUAAGACAACAUAUUCACAGGAUCAUACAUUUUAUAAUUUCGUGGUAAUAAUAUACAAAAGAAUAUUGAUUUUUCA